GGGGUAUACGGUGACCCGGUCUACCACCGGGAUGUUCAUAACCCUUUGUUGUCCGACUCUGUUGCCUCCGGGGCGACCCUGCCUUCGGGCGGGGGCUCCGGGUGGACACUUCAAACUCUUGCGUAACUUUGCAGUCUGAGUAAACUUAAUUAAUAAAUUAAAACUUUUAACAACGGAUCUCUUGGUUCUGGCAUCGAUGAAGAACGCAGCGAAAUGCGAUAAGUAAUGUGAAUUGCAGAAUUCAGUGAAUCAUCGAAUCUUUGAACGCACAUUGCGCCCCCUGGUAUUCCGGGGGGCAUGCCUGUUCGAGCGUCAUUUCACCACUCAAGCCUCGCUUGGUAUUGGGCAUCGCGGUCCGCCGCGUGCCUCAAAUCGACCGGCUGGGUCUUCUGUCCCCUAAGCGUUGUGGAAACUAUUCGCUAAAGGGUGUUCGGGAGGCUACGCCGUAAAACAACCCCAUUUCUAAGGUUGACCUCGGAUCAGGUAGGGAUACCCGCUGAACUUAAGCAUAUCAAAA
This 517-nucleotide ribosomal RNA is filed under the name Cladosporium tenuissimum. Its description in RNAcentral is "eukaryotic LSU rRNA". The stretch from base 162 to 315 matches the Rfam family "5.8S ribosomal RNA". Lineage: Eukaryota; Fungi; Ascomycota; Dothideomycetes; Cladosporiales; Cladosporiaceae. The record is from RNAcentral.